AAUCAACGCUGGCGGCGUGCCUAACACAUGCAAGUCGAACGCGAAAGUCCCGCAAGGGAUCGGUAGAGUGGCAAACGGGUGAGUAACACGUGGGUGACCUGCCUUCGAGUGGGGGAUAACGUCCCGAAAGGGACGCUAAUACCGCAUCAUAUGCCGCCUUUUAAGAGGUGGACAUCAAAGCUGGGGAUCGCAAGACCUAGCGCUGGAAGAGGGGCCCGCGUCCGAUUAGCUAGUUGGNGGGGUAAUGGCUCACCAAGGCAACGAUCGGUAGCCGGCCUGAGAGGGCGGACGGCCACACUGGGACUGAGACACGGCCCAGACUCCUACGGGAGGCAGCAGUGGGGAAUUGUUCGCAAUGGGCGCAAGCCUGACGACGCAACGCCGCGUGGAGGAUGAAGACC
Molecule: ribosomal RNA, 401 nt
Filed under: uncultured bacterium
Lineage: Bacteria
Description: bacterial SSU rRNA
Rfam family: Bacterial small subunit ribosomal RNA
Source: RNAcentral